RNAcentral lists this ribosomal RNA (449 nucleotides) under uncultured bacterium. RNAcentral's name for it is "partial 16S ribosomal RNA". It matches the Rfam family "Bacterial small subunit ribosomal RNA", at positions 29 to 523 of the family's 1533-position model. The record is from RNAcentral.
AGCGAACGCUGGCGGCAGGCCUAACACAUGCAAGUCGAACGGAUCCUUCGGGAUUAGUGGCGGACGGGUGAGUAACACGUGGGAACGUGCCCUUUGGUUCGGAACAACUCAGGGAAACUUGAGCUAAUACCGGAUGUGCCCUUCGGGGGAAAGAUUUAUCGCCAUUGGAGCGGCCCGCGUCUGAUUAGCUAGUUGGUGAGGUAAAGGCUCACCAAGGCGACGAUCAGUAGCUGGUCUGAGAGGAUGAUCAGCCACAUUGGGACUGGGACACGGCCCAAACUCCUACGGGAGGCAGUAGUGGGGAAUCUUGCGAAAUGGGCGAAAGCCUGACGCAGCCAUGCCGCGUGAAUGAUGAAGGUCUUAGGAUUGUAAAAUUCUUUCACCGGGGACGAUAAUGACGGUACCCAGAGAAGAAGCCCCGGCUAACUUCGUGCCAGCCGCCGCGGUAA